This 562-nucleotide ribosomal RNA is filed under the name uncultured Glomeromycotina. RNAcentral describes it as "SSU rRNA". It matches the Rfam family "Eukaryotic small subunit ribosomal RNA", at positions 548 to 1114 of the family's 1831-position model. The record is from RNAcentral. Lineage: Eukaryota; Fungi; Glomeromycota.
UUGGAGGGCAAGUCUGGUGCCAGCAGCCGCGGUAAUUCCAGCUCCAAUAGCGUAUAUUAAAGUUGUUGCAGUUAAAAAGCUCGUAGUUGAAUUUUAGGCCUGGCCGGGCGGUCCGUCUUUGGCGAGUACUGUCCUGUGUCGGGUCCACCUUCUGGUGAACCAGUAUGUCCUUUAUUGGGUGUGCCGGGGAGCCAGGACCAUUACCUUGAAAAAAUUAGAGUGUUUAAAGCAGGCAUUUGCUUGAAUAGAUUAGCAUGGAAUAAUAGAAUAGGACGUUGUGGUUCUAUUUUGUUGGUUUCUAGGACCACCGUAAUGAUUAAUAGGGAUAGUUGGGGGCAUUAGUAUUCAAUUGUCAGAGGUGAAAUUCUUGGAUUUAUUGAAGACUAACUACUGCGAAAGCAUUUGCCAAGGAUGUUUUCAUUAAUCAAGAACGAAAGUUAGGGGAUCGAAGACGAUCAGAUACCGUCGUAGUCUUAACCAUAAACUAUGCCGACUAGGAAUCGGGCGACGUUAUUUUCAUGACUCGCUCGGCGCCUUAUGGGAAACCAAAGUGUUUGGGUUC